RNAcentral lists this ribosomal RNA (2399 nucleotides) under Shigella sonnei. RNAcentral describes it as "partial 23S ribosomal RNA". It matches the Rfam family "Bacterial large subunit ribosomal RNA", at positions 474 to 2853 of the family's 2925-position model. The record is from RNAcentral. Lineage: Bacteria; Pseudomonadati; Pseudomonadota; Gammaproteobacteria; Enterobacterales; Enterobacteriaceae.
UCCUGACUGACCGAUAGUGAACCAGUACCGUGAGGGAAAGGCGAAAAGAACCCCGGCGAGGGGAGUGAAAAAGAACCUGAAACCGUGUACGUACAAGCAGUGGGAGCACGCUUAGGCGUGUGACUGCGUACCUUUUGUAUAAUGGGUCAGCGACUUAUAUUCUGUAGCAAGGUUAACCGAAUAGGGGAGCCGAAGGGAAACCGAGUCUUAACUGGGCGUUAAGUUGCAGGGUAUAGACCCGAAACCCGGUGAUCUAGCCAUGGGCAGGUUGAAGGUUGGGUAACACUAACUGGAGGACCGAACCGACUAAUGUUGAAAAAUUAGCGGAUGACUUGUGGCUGGGGGUGAAAGGCCAAUCAAACCGGGAGAUAGCUGGUUCUCCCCGAAAGCUAUUUAGGUAGCGCCUCGUGAAUUCAUCUCCGGGGGUAGAGCACUGUUUCGGCAAGGGGGUCAUCCCGACUUACCAACCCGAUGCAAACUGCGAAUACCGGAGAAUGUUAUCACGGGAGACACACGGCGGGUGCUAACGUCCGUCGUGAAGAGGGAAACAACCCAGACCGCCAGCUAAGGUCCCAAAGUCAUGGUUAAGUGGGAAACGAUGUGGGAAGGCCCAGACAGCCAGGAUGUUGGCUUAGAAGCAGCCAUCAUUUAAAGAAAGCGUAAUAGCUCACUGGUCGAGUCGGCCUGCGCGGAAGAUGUAACGGGGCUAAACCAUGCACCGAAGCUGCGGCAGCGACGCUUAUGCGUUGUUGGGUAGGGGAGCGUUCUGUAAGCCUGCGAAGGUGUGCUGUGAGGCAUGCUGGAGGUAUCAGAAGUGCGAAUGCUGACAUAAGUAACGAUAAAGCGGGUGAAAAGCCCGCUCGCCGGAAGACCAAGGGUUCCUGUCCAACGUUAAUCGGGGCAGGGUGAGUCGACCCCUAAGGCGAGGCCGAAAGGCGUAGUCGAUGGGAAACAGGUUAAUAUUCCUGUACUUGGUGUUACUGCGAAGGGGGGACGGAGAAGGCUAUGUUGGCCGGGCGACGGUUGUCCCGGUUUAAGCGUGUAGGCUGGUUUUCCAGGCAAAUCCGGAAAAUCAAGGCUGAGGCGUGAUGACGAGGCACUACGGUGCUGAAGCAACAAAUGCCCUGCUUCCAGGAAAAGCCUCUAAGCAUCAGGUAACAUCAAAUCGUACCCCAAACCGACACAGGUGGUCAGGUAGAGAAUACCAAGGCGCUUGAGAGAACUCGGGUGAAGGAACUAGGCAAAAUGGUGCCGUAACUUCGGGAGAAGGCACGCUGAUAUGUAGGUGAAGUCCCUUGCGGAUGGAGCUGAAAUCAGUCGAAGAUACCAGCUGGCUGCAACUGUUUAUUAAAAACACAGCACUGUGCAAACACGAAAGUGGACGUAUACGGUGUGACGCCUGCCCGGUGCCGGAAGGUUAAUUGAUGGGGUCAGCGCAAGCGAAGCUCUUGAUCGAAGCCCCGGUAAACGGCGGCCGUAACUAUAACGGUCCUAAGGUAGCGAAAUUCCUUGUCGGGUAAGUUCCGACCUGCACGAAUGGCGUAAUGAUGGCCAGGCUGUCUCCACCCGAGACUCAGUGAAAUUGAACUCGCUGUGAAGAUGCAGUGUACCCGCGGCAAGACGGAAAGACCCCGUGAACCUUUACUAUAGCUUGACACUGAACAUUGAGCCUUGAUGUGUAGGAUAGGUGGGAGGCUUUGAAGUGUGGACGCCAGUCUGCAUGGAGCCGGCCUUGAAAUACCACCCUUUAAUGUUUGAUGUUCUAACGUGGACCCGUGAUCCGGGUUGCGGACAGUGUCUGGUGGGUAGUUUGACUGGGGCGGUCUCCUCCUAAAGAGUAACGGAGGAGCACGAAGGUUGGCUAAUCCUGGUCGGACAUCAGGAGGUUAGUGCAAUGGCAUAAGCCAGCUUGACUGCGAGCGUGACGGCGCGAGCAGGUGCGAAAGCAGGUCAUAGUGAUCCGGUGGUUCUGAAUGGAAGGGCCAUCGCUCAACGGAUAAAAGGUACUCCGGGGAUAACAGGCUGAUACCGCCCAAGAGUUCAUAUCGACGGCGGUGUUUGGCACCUCGAUGUCGGCUCAUCACAUCCUGGGGCUGAAGUAGGUCCCAAGGGUAUGGCUGUUCGCCAUUUAAAGUGGUACGCGAGCUGGGUUUAGAACGUCGUGAGACAGUUCGGUCCCUAUCUGCCGUGGGCGAUGGAGAACUGAGGGGGGCUGCUCCUAGUACGAGAGGACCGGAGUGGACGCAUCACUGGUGUUCGGGUUGUCAUGCCAAUGGCACUGCCCGGUAGCUAAAUGCGGAAGAGAUAAGUGCUGAAAGCAUCUAAGCACGAAACUUGCCCCGAGAUGAGUUCUCCCUGACCCUUUAAGGGUCCUGAAGGAACGUUGAAGACGACGACGU